Molecule: small nuclear RNA, 102 nt
Organism: Sorex araneus (European shrew)
Lineage: Eukaryota; Metazoa; Chordata; Mammalia; Eulipotyphla; Soricidae
Source: Ensembl
AUACUACCAAGAUAUGGUUAGAAAAAAAGUAAUUAUACAGGGAAAAUUAGCAUGGCCCCCUCACAGGAUGACACACAAUUUCAUGAAGCAUUCUGUAUUUUA